AACUAAAGAAAACGGAGAAAAACAAAAUACAAACCGGAAUGAAAACAAAACGCUGGGAAACCCUGAAAAUGAAAGGUGGGAGCGUCUCGUUUUAGCGAAAAAAGCUCAGGGUUCCCACUGAUUUUUCAUCAUUGGUGAGGCCUCACCUGCCUUUCCUGACCACACAUCCCUGUCUUCAUUGAAACUAAAAGAACUGCACUCAAAAAGGUACAGAGUGAUCUGGUCAGGAGCUGAUGCUGGGUCAGGAGCUGAUGCUGGGUCAGGAGCUGAUGCUGGUUAAAUGCUUGACAGCCACAGAUGGCCAUGUCUCAAGCAAGAAGGGUGUCCUACUAUGCUUGUUAGCAGGUUGACCAGGGCAGCAGUAGCAGAAAGUUCACUCAGACUCACUCAGAUUUUCAAGCAGCACCAUCCAACUCAACAUUUAUUUGAUUUCUUUUCCUCUUUUGAAGGUGCAAAUAUUUACAGUGAGUACAUAAAAAAAGAAAAACUAAUUACCUUACCUAAAUAAGAAACUGUUUUAGUGGACUUGUUAAUAAUCCAGGCUAUAUCUGGAAUUGCUUCCUCUGUGGCCUACACAUAUUAAGCCCCCUUGGCUCUAGGCGCCACCUACUUAAAUAGCUUCAGCCCCGCCUUUAAGAUAAUCCAACUACAGUAACUUUAACCACACUCAAAAUUCAUAGAAAAAGUAACAUAUAUACAAAGGCUAUGUAACCAAAUGUAUAAACUCAUGCUUGGAAACCUGUGGCAGGAAACCAUAAGAGGACAAUACUGUACUAAUGCCCCCCCCCUCUUAGCUCCAGGAAUGGUACUUCCCUUCCUAAUGGUGGGAAAAUCCCCCUAUAACUGAUGGUAAUGGUACAGCUGAUUCUGUUUGUAAGUGCCCCAAGACUACUGUAUUUAAUACUGUCCAAUAAGAAUUAAAUAAAUGUUAAUCUGAGCAAGAAAAA
This is a long non-coding RNA of Trichomycterus rosablanca, 947 nucleotides long. RefSeq lists it as uncharacterized. The record is from RefSeq and is a predicted model, not a curated record. The transcript has 3 exons. NCBI's taxonomy places the organism in Eukaryota, Metazoa, Chordata, Actinopteri, Siluriformes, Trichomycteridae.